This 497-nucleotide ribosomal RNA is filed under the name uncultured bacterium. Its description in RNAcentral is "partial 16S ribosomal RNA". It matches the Rfam family "Bacterial small subunit ribosomal RNA", at positions 28 to 507 of the family's 1533-position model. The record is from RNAcentral.
GAUGAACGCUGGCGGCGUGCCUAAUACAUGCAAGUCGAGCGAACAGACGAGGAGCUUGCUCCUCUGACGUUAGCGGCGGACGGGUGAGUAACACGUGGAUAACCUACCUAUAAGACUGGGAUAACUUCGGGAAACCGGAGCUAAUACCGGAUAAUAUAUUGAACCGCAUGGUUCAAUAGUGAAAGACGGUUUUGCUGUCACUUAUAGAUGGAUCCGCGCCGCAUUAGCUAGUUGGUAAGGUAACGGCUUACCAAGGCAACGAUGCGUAGCCGACCUGAGAGGGUGAUCGGCCACACUGGAACUGAGACACGGUCCAGACUCCUACGGGAGGCAGCAGUAGGGAAUUUUCCGCCAUGGGCGAAAGCCUGACGGAGCAACGCCGCGUGAGUGAUGAAGGUCUUCGGAUCGGAAAACUCUGUUAUUAGGGAAGAACAAAUGUGUAAGUAACUAUGCACGUCUUGACGGUACCUAAUCAGAAAGCCACGGCUAACUACGUG